This is a non-coding RNA of Myotis davidii, 74 nucleotides long. The record is from Rfam. Lineage: Eukaryota; Metazoa; Chordata; Mammalia; Chiroptera; Vespertilionidae.
GGCAGUUCUUGGGUGACGCAACCGGAAUCCGGCUCCUUCCUUUCUGGUUCCAGGUGCGUCAUCUGAGAACCGCC